CCUUACGAGUAGGGCUACACACGUGCUACAAUGGCGCAUACAAAGAGAAGCGACCUCGCGAGAGCAAGCGGACCUCAUAAAGUGCGUCGUAGUCCGGAUUGGAGUCUGCAACUCGACUCCAUGAAGUCGGAAUCGCUAGUAAUCGUGGAUCAGAAUGCCACGGUGAAUACGUUCCCGGGCCUUGUACACACCGCCCGUCACACCAUGGGAGUGGGUUGCAAAAGAAGUAGGUAGCUUAACCUUCGGGAGGGCGCUUACCACUUUGUGAUUCAUGACUGGGGUG
RNAcentral lists this ribosomal RNA (283 nucleotides) under Staphylococcus aureus. RNAcentral's name for it is "partial 16S ribosomal RNA". It matches the Rfam family "Bacterial small subunit ribosomal RNA", at positions 1200 to 1482 of the family's 1533-position model. The record is from RNAcentral. Lineage: Bacteria; Bacillati; Bacillota; Bacilli; Caryophanales; Staphylococcaceae.